CGGAGGCAGCAGUGGGGAAUAUUGGGCAAUGGGCGAAAGCCUGACCCAGCAACGCCGCGUGUGUGAUGAAGGCCUUCGGGUCGUAAAGCACUUUUCUGGGAGAUGAGAAAGGACAGUAUCCCAGGAAUAAGUCUCGGCUAACUACGUGCCAGCAGCCGCGGUAAAACGUAGGAGGCGAGCGUUAUCCGGAUUCACUGGGCGUAAAGCGCGUGCAGGUGGCGCGGUAAGUUGGGCGUGAAAUCUCCCGGCUCAACUGGGAGAGGUCGUCCAAUACUACCGUGCUUGAGAGCAGAAGAGGAAGAUGGAAUUCCCGGUGUAGUGGUGAAAUGCGUAGAUAUCGGGAGGAACACCAGUGGCGAAGGCGAUCUUCUGGUCUGUUUCUGACACUCAGACGCGACAGCUAGGGUAGUAAACGGGAUUAGAUACCCUGGU
RNAcentral lists this ribosomal RNA (432 nucleotides) under uncultured bacterium. RNAcentral describes it as "bacterial SSU rRNA". It matches the Rfam family "Bacterial small subunit ribosomal RNA", at positions 343 to 791 of the family's 1533-position model. The record is from RNAcentral.